Molecule: ribosomal RNA, 442 nt
Filed under: uncultured bacterium
Lineage: Bacteria
Description: partial 16S ribosomal RNA
Rfam family: Bacterial small subunit ribosomal RNA
Source: RNAcentral
CCUACGGGAGGCAGCAGUAGGGAAUCUUUCACAAUGGGCGAAAGCCUGAUGGAGCAACGCCGCGUGCAGGAUGAAGGCCUUCGGGUUGUAAACUGCUUUUAUAAGCGAGAAAUAUGAUGGUAACUUAUGAAUAAGGAUCGGCUACCUACGUGCCAGCAGCCGCGGUCAUACGUAGGAUCCGAGCAUUAUCCGGAGUGACUGGGUGUAAAGAGUUGCGUAGGUGGCAUAAUAAGUAGCUAGUGAAAUCUGGUGGCUCAACCAUUCAGACUAUUAGCUAAACUGUUAAGCUCGAGACCGUUAGGGGUAACUGGAAUGUCUAGUGUAGGAGUGAAAUCCGUAGAUAUUAGAAGGAACACCAAUAGCGUAGGCAGGUUGCUGGGACGGUUCUGACACUAAGGCACGAAAGCGUAGGGAGCAAACGGGAUUAGAUACCCGGGUAGUC